Molecule: long non-coding RNA, 408 nt
Organism: Spea bombifrons (plains spadefoot toad)
Lineage: Eukaryota; Metazoa; Chordata; Amphibia; Anura; Pelobatidae
Exons: 2
Source: RefSeq, a predicted model, not a curated record
GUACAGGAAAGUCCCAGAAGCGUGAGGUGCGAUGACGACAAUAUUAACGCCUAAGUUCCACAUGAUUCAGUGCUGGGUUCCUUGGGCAUGUUUCAUGGCUCUGGGCAAUUGGAUGGGAGGGUGAGAGGCACGAGCCGGUGAAGCGGGAAAAGGGGCCGAGGUACGAGCUGGGGAAGGGGGGCAGAGGUACAAGCAGUCAGGGCUGGGAAAGGUUGGGAAUGGCUGAGCAUCAGUGCUUCAAGUCCAUUUUUGGUGGAUGGGAGCCUUAGCAGCUGAAAAAUCUGUAGCAGAUGAGGAAGCGGAGGGGAGACAGAAGUUGUGUACAAACUGUACAGUAUAAAUAUUUAUAUUCUGUGUAUAUACUGUGCCCUGUGUCAUGUAUGUGUAAUAAACAGACUGCCCUAACAA